GGGGAUAUACCUCAGUGGUACAGUGCUUGCUUAUAAUACAAGAGGUCCUGGGUUCAAUUCCCAGGACCUCA
RNAcentral lists this transfer RNA (71 nucleotides) under Ictidomys tridecemlineatus (thirteen-lined ground squirrel). Its description in RNAcentral is "Spermophilus tridecemlineatus (thirteen-lined ground squirrel) tRNA". It matches the Rfam family "tRNA". From Rfam's summary of the family: Transfer RNA (tRNA) molecules are approximately 80 nucleotides in length. The record is from Rfam by way of RNAcentral. Lineage: Eukaryota; Metazoa; Chordata; Mammalia; Rodentia; Sciuridae.